Long non-coding RNA from Triticum dicoccoides, 1122 nucleotides. RefSeq lists it as uncharacterized. The transcript is spliced from 2 exons. Lineage: Eukaryota; Viridiplantae; Streptophyta; Magnoliopsida; Poales; Poaceae. The record is from RefSeq and is a predicted model, not a curated record.
UUGGAUCCGGCCGCCCCGGCACCACCGGUCUUGGAUCCGGCCGCCGCGCUGCCUGCCUCUGCUCCUCACCUGUCCGCCUCCGCGCCCGCACGAGGGGAUGCCAAGCCCUCGUGCUCCUCGAUCGGCAGCCACAGGGGGCCUCCCGCGCACCUUCCCUUCCUUUCUUCUUCUCCUUCCUUCUCCCUCACACCCUCUCUCUCUCUGUUCUCCUGCAGGUACCCGCCGGCCAUCAUGGACAGCAGCCAUGCAGCAGGAGCUCGCCACUGAAGUCCCCCGAGCACCGUACGCCCCGAAUCCUCUGCAGCAACCUGGAAGUUCGCCGCCGCCACCUUGGGCGGUUCAACUAACGCACCGCCGCCCUCACCUCCCUCCCCAACAGACGCGCCGUCGUGACUCCACCUCCUGGCUGGACCACCGCGUGCCUCCACCUCCUGGCUUCCCGGUGCCGCCCCGUUGGCCUCCUCCCACGGCCCCGCUUAAUCAAGCCCCGCCGUCUUCCCCGUGCGAGCCAACCAGGCCAGACGGCCACCCCCGCAAGCACCCGUCCUCGGUGUUCGCUUGGUGGAGACUAGGAGCAGCGACAGAGACGCCGCCCCAAGGCGGAAUCCCUGCCUCCGCUUGGUUCCGUCCACAGCAGCACACCACAUCUCCCCCGUCGUCCAUCUGCCAUGUUCAUGUCCACAGCCGUUGAAGCUGUAGAUGGAGCGUGACAUGCAACAGUGUCGCCCCAACAAGCACGCAACGCCGACGACGACAGGGUGUGGCGUGCGUCUGUCCGGCAUGCUAGGCGUGGUGCCGAGGGGGCAGCAGUUUGAAUUGGCUGGGGGUUAAAGUUCAGGUAAUGCUAUUGUCUGGUGGCAAAGGACCAUGCAGGCUGUUUCGUUACUGAAAAAACGCGUGACGCAAGGAACAAGAAUUUUUCAAUAAACUCCUACUCUUAUUCUUUUCCCCUUCGACUUUCUCUGCCAUGGAUGUGUGCAUGCGUGCUAUGUGCGUGAGUGCGCUACAACAAUUUGUGUAAAAGAAGCAUUUUCAAUUGGGCAAAAUUAGUUGAUGGUUGUCGAAGUUCAGACAUUUGUAUUGGUAACCUUCAGUAAUUAUAGAAUGAGAAGUAGUGUGUGC